RNAcentral lists this ribosomal RNA (543 nucleotides) under Cyllene pulchella. Its description in RNAcentral is "partial 12S ribosomal RNA". Lineage: Eukaryota; Metazoa; Mollusca; Gastropoda; Neogastropoda; Nassariidae. The record is from RNAcentral.
CGGUUAGACCAAGAGGUUAAGUUAUAUCAUUAGGUGUAAAAGAUAGUUAGGCUAACGAUAAAAGCUUGUAAUUAACUAUUUAUAAGAAAGUAAAAUUUGUAUAUAAAUAGCAAAUCUAAUGGCAGCUUACUUUGCUGAAGCUAUGAUAAUUCUGAGGGAAACUGGGAUUAGAUACCCCACUAUUCUUAAUUGUAAAUCUAAUAAAAUUUACCAGAGUACUAUGAAUUAUAAAAUUUAAAACUCAAAGAGCUUGGCGGUGUUUUAGACCUAUCAGGGGAACCUGUCUCGUAAUCGACAAUCCACGUAAUACCUGACCUUAUUUUGUAAACAGUAUGUAUACCGUCGUCGUCAGGUAACUUCUAAAAAACUAAAAGUUAGCAUAAAACCUUUGAGGUAAAACGUCAGAUCAAGGUGCAGCUGAUAGUGAGGGGAGGAUGGGUUACAAUUACAUUAUUUGUAACUACGAAUAAUUACUUGAAAGAGUAAUUUAAAGGAGGACUUGAAAGUAUAAUGAAAUAUAUGAAUAAUUUGAAUAUGGCUCUG